AGCGAACGCUGGCGGCAGGCUUAACACAUGCAAGUCGAGCGGGCACUUUCGGGUGUCCGCGGCGGACGGGUGAGUAGCGCGUGGGAACGUGCCCUCUGGUUCGGAAUAACUCAGGGAAACUUGAGCUAAUACCGGAUACGCCCUUUUGGGGAAAGGCUUGCUGCCGGAGGAUCGGCCCGCGUCUGAUUAGCUAGUUGGUGAGGUAACGGCUCACCAAGGCGACGAUCAGUGGCUGGUCUGAGAGGAUGAUCAGCCACACUGGGACUGAGACACGGCCCAGACUCCUACGGGAGGCAGCAGUGGGGAAUAUUGGACAAUGGGCGCAAGCCUGAUCCAGCCAUGCCGCGUGAGUGAUGAGGGCCUUAGGGUUGUAAAGCUCUUUUAUCCGGGACGAUAAUGACGGUACCGGAGGAAUAAGCCCCGGCUAACUUCGUG
This 435-nucleotide ribosomal RNA is filed under the name uncultured bacterium. RNAcentral describes it as "partial 16S ribosomal RNA". It matches the Rfam family "Bacterial small subunit ribosomal RNA", at positions 29 to 507 of the family's 1533-position model. The record is from RNAcentral.